RNAcentral lists this ribosomal RNA (440 nucleotides) under uncultured bacterium. RNAcentral describes it as "partial 16S ribosomal RNA". It matches the Rfam family "Bacterial small subunit ribosomal RNA", at positions 338 to 795 of the family's 1533-position model. The record is from RNAcentral.
CCUACGGGUGGCAGCAGUGGGGGAUAUUGCACAAUGGGGGAAACCCUGAUGCAGCGACGCCGCGUGAGUGAAGAAGUAUUUCGGUAUGUAAAGCUCUAUCAGCAGGGAAGAAAAUGACAGUACCUGAACAAGAAGCCCCGGCUAACUACGUGCAAGCAGCCGCGGGAAUACGUAGGGGGAAAGCGUUAUCCGGAUUUACUGGGGGAAAAGGGAGCGUAGACGGUUUUGUAAGUCUGGUGUGAAAGCCCGGGGCCCAACCUCGGGACUGCUUUGGAAACUGGGUAACUGGAGUACAGGAGGGGCAGGCGGAAUUCCAGGUGUAGCGGUGAAAUGCGUAGAGAUCAGGAGGAAUACCGGCGGCGAAGGCGGCCUGCUGGACUGAGACUGACGUUGAGGCGCGAAAGCGUGGGGAGCAAACAGGAUUAGAUACCCCUGUAGUC